UUUUAGCCGUGACCGAAGUGGAAAGCCUUUUUUUAUAAAAUUGUAUUUUUUUCGAGGGUGAAAAGAGCGACUGCAAGAAGCUCCUUUUGAGCCGUAGAAAAAAACAAUUUUAGGAAAAAGCUUGAAACGAAGGGCGCGAUAAGCU
This 145-nucleotide small RNA is filed under the name Flavobacterium tiangeerense. RNAcentral's name for it is "Flavo-1 RNA". It matches the Rfam family "Flavo-1 RNA". RNAcentral also lists the same sequence under 2 other names. The record is from RNAcentral. Lineage: Bacteria; Pseudomonadati; Bacteroidota; Flavobacteriia; Flavobacteriales; Flavobacteriaceae.